UGGCUCAGUGGUAGAGCACUUGCCUUGCAUGUAUGAGGCCCUGGGUUCGAUUCCUCAG
Non-coding RNA from Dipodomys ordii (Ord's kangaroo rat), 58 nucleotides. The record is from Rfam. Lineage: Eukaryota; Metazoa; Chordata; Mammalia; Rodentia; Heteromyidae.